CAAUAGCGUAUAUUAAAGUUGUUGCAGUUAAAAAGCUCGUAGUCGAAUUUCAGGGCGGCGGGCACGGUCUGCCGAUGGGUAUGCACUGUGUCGGCCGCCUUUCCUGCUGGGGUCCGCGUCUGCACUUAACUGUGCGGGCGCGGGGAACAGCGCGUUUACUUUGAGAAAAUCAGAGUGUUUAAAGCAGGCCAAGAUUGCUCUUGCAUGGAUUAGCAUGGGAUAAUUUAAUAGGACUCUGGUGCUAUUCUGUUGGUUUCGAACACCGGAGUAAUGAUAAAAGGGGCAGUCAGGGGCACUCGUAUUCCGUCGAGAGAGGUGAAAUUCUCAGACCAAUGGAAGACGAACCACUGCGAAAGCAUUUGCCAGGGAUGUUUUCACUGAUCAAGAACGAAAGUUAGGGGAUCGAAGAUGAUCAGAU
Molecule: ribosomal RNA, 418 nt
Filed under: uncultured eukaryote
Lineage: Eukaryota
Description: bacterial SSU rRNA
Rfam family: Eukaryotic small subunit ribosomal RNA
Source: RNAcentral